AAUUUGACCUGGCUCAGGACGAACGCUGGCGGCGUGCCUAAUACAUGCAAGUCGAGCGGACAGAUGGGAGCUUGCUCCCUGAUGUUAGCGGCGGACGGUGAGUAACACGUGGGUAACCUGCCUGUAAUGACUGGGAUAACUCCGGGAAACCGGGGCUAAUACCGGAUGGUUGUUUGAACCGCAUGGUUCAAACAUAAAAGUGGCUUCGGCUACCACUUACAGAUGGACCCGCGGCGCAUUAGCUAGUUGGUGAGGUAACGGCUCACCAAGGCAACGAUGCGUAGCCGACCUGAGAGGGUAUCGGCCACACUGGGACUGAGACACGGCCCAGACUCCUACGGGAGGCAGCAGUAGGGAAUCUUCCGCAAUGGACGAAAGUCUGACGGAGCAACGCCGCGUGAUA
RNAcentral lists this ribosomal RNA (403 nucleotides) under Bacillus subtilis. RNAcentral's name for it is "bacterial SSU rRNA". It matches the Rfam family "Bacterial small subunit ribosomal RNA", at positions 10 to 406 of the family's 1533-position model. The record is from RNAcentral. Lineage: Bacteria; Bacillati; Bacillota; Bacilli; Caryophanales; Bacillaceae.